Long non-coding RNA from Camelus dromedarius (Arabian camel), 1233 nucleotides. RefSeq lists it as uncharacterized. The transcript is spliced from 3 exons. The record is from RefSeq and is a predicted model, not a curated record. NCBI's taxonomy places the organism in Eukaryota, Metazoa, Chordata, Mammalia, Artiodactyla, Camelidae.
ACCUUAAGUAGUAUAUUCAGGCUAUCAUUAAUUAUAAUUUGAAACUUUGCCAAUGCAGUUUGGGGUAAAGCCUGCCCACAGAAGUCAAAUCAUGUCUUCAUUAACUGUUAGGAGCUGCUGUUCUCCUUCUCUAUUCCUUGAAGAAAGCUUUUCUGGAAAAAUUCUGAUGUUGAUAACGACUUAAAGGGACAGAGGAAGACUGCGCUCACUCAUCUGCUCUUACCCAUAAAAGAUGGGAAACAAUCUGAAAGUCCACCCAGAGGGGAACAGCUAAAUGAACGAGGAUAUCACCACGUGCUGGGACAAUGCGACACCAUGGUAAAAAGAACAAGACUUCCUGAGCCAGAGCAGAAAGAUAUGGGCACACUAAAUGUGCCCUUCGUGUGGAGCACGGUACAGCCAAAAUGAGGGCUCCUUCACUUGCUCUGAUGCACAGAACUGGGACCUAAGACUCCCAAACCAGCAGAAGCCUUGACUGUGGUGCUUUUCAAAUGAGCGGAUCUGUCAACAUACGGGACUGACAGCAUUCCAACACAACAGUAACAGAGGCGAUAUGAAGUCUUCCUCUAAAGUGUCACAGAUAAUAACGUAAAACAUAACUCUACUAAAACUAUACACAAAUACAAGGGUCUGAUACCACUAUGUCUCACUCUCAUCACCAGAAGUCUAUAAAAUCGCAGUCACACUAGAGUUAUUGUCUUAAAAUGAAAAUAAAUUAUACAAAAAUGUUAACUCUAAUUACCCCUAGCUAAAAAGACUGCAAAAAAAUUACACUGUGGUUAAGAGUUAAUAAUGGAGAGAAAACUCAAUAAGGGGAGUGUGUGUGUAUGUGUGUAUACGACAUCCCAACUUCUUAAAUGUAAAUAACUAUGAGCAGGACUAGAACCCAUUUAGAAAGGGGUGGGGGACAUAUUACACGAAAACAAAAUCUUUAAAAUUCUGAAGUAAUAUGAGUCAGAAAGUGCUCUUGAACUGAGAAGUCCUUGUUAGACAAUCUAAGCCAAUGACAUUCCAUGUUUAGAGACAACUACAGAGGGAACUAAUGUGAAUGUAUUUAAUUUUGUUUUCUCUUCACAAAACUUGUUGUGGGAUAGAUAAAAGGAGAUCUGAGCCUUAAAUCUUCAUCUUAAAUUAAGAAUAUCUGUUUUAGGUCUUGUCACCAGUCACCACAGGAAAACAAGCCUAACUCGGGAGUGAGCGUACACUGUAAACCUAUUAUUUUUGACACAUGAU